CAUAGGGGUGCUCAUAAGUGCUUGAUUGCUUGACUGCUUGAUUGCAUGAAUGUGCUGAGAACAUACCCUGAAACUUGAUCCGGAUAAUGCCGGCGUAAGGAAUGAAAUU
RNAcentral lists this non-coding RNA (109 nucleotides) under bovine gut metagenome. The record is from RNAcentral.